RNAcentral lists this ribosomal RNA (491 nucleotides) under uncultured bacterium. RNAcentral describes it as "partial 16S ribosomal RNA". It matches the Rfam family "Bacterial small subunit ribosomal RNA", at positions 29 to 507 of the family's 1533-position model. The record is from RNAcentral.
GUGAACGCUGGCGGUAGGCCUAACACAUGCAAGUCGAACGGCAGCACAGUAAGAGCUUGCUCUUACGGGUGGCGAGUGGCGGACGGGUGAGGAAUACAUCGGAAUCUACUUUUUCGUGGGGGAUAACGUAGGGAAACUUACGCUAAUACCGCAUACGACCUACGGGUGAAAGCAGGGGAUCUUCGGACCUUGCGCGGUUGAAUGAGCCGAUGUCGGAUUAGCUAGUUGGCGGGGUAAAGGCCCACCAAGGCGACGAUCCGUAGCUGGUCUGAGAGGAUGAUCAGCCACACUGGAACUGAGACACGGUCCAGACUCCUACGGGAGGCAGCAGUGGGGAAUAUUGGACAAUGGGCGCAAGCCUGAUCCAGCCAUACCGCGUGGGUGAAGAAGGCCUUCGGGUUGUAAAGCCCUUUUGUUGGGAAAGAAAAGCAGCAGGUUAAUACCCCGCUGUUCUGACGGUACCCAAAGAAUAAGCACCGGCUAACUUCGUG